Molecule: ribosomal RNA, 348 nt
Filed under: uncultured bacterium
Lineage: Bacteria
Description: bacterial SSU rRNA
Rfam family: Bacterial small subunit ribosomal RNA
Source: RNAcentral
GAGACAGGUGCUGCGUGGCUGUCGUCAGCUCGUGUCGUGAGAUGUUCGGGUUAAGUCCCGUAACGAGCGCAACCCUUGUCCUUAUUUGCCAUCAUUAGUUGGGCACUCUAAGGAGACUGCCGGUGACAAACCGGAGGAAGUGGGACGACGUCAAGUCAUCAUGGCCCUUACGACCAGGGCUACACACGUGCUACAAUGGGCGGUACAAAGGGUUGCAAGACCGCGAGGUGGAGCUAAUCCCAUAAAACCGUUCGUAGUCCGGAUUGGAGUCUGCAACUCGACUCCAUGAAGUCGGAAUCGCUAGUAAUCGUAAAUCAGCAUGUUACGGUGAAUACGUUCCCGGGCCUU